Molecule: ribosomal RNA, 748 nt
Filed under: uncultured Lachnospiraceae bacterium
Lineage: Bacteria; Bacillati; Bacillota; Clostridia; Lachnospirales; Lachnospiraceae
Description: bacterial SSU rRNA
Rfam family: Bacterial small subunit ribosomal RNA
Source: RNAcentral
GAUGAACGCUGGCGGCGUGCUUAACACAUGCAAGUCGAACGAAGCUGCUAAAAGGAAGUCUUCGGAUGGAAUUUUGGUAGACUUAGUGGCGGACGGGUGAGUAACGCGUGGAUAACCUGCCUUAUACAGGGGGAUAACGGAGAGAAAUUUCCGCUAAGACCGCAUAAGACCACAGCACCGCAUGGUGCAGGGGUAAAAUAUUUAUAGGUAUAAGAUGGAUCCGCGUCCGAUUAGCUGGUUGGUGAGGUAGAGGCUCACCAAGGCGACGAUCGGUAGCCGGCCUGAGAGGGUGAACGGCCACAUUGGGACUGAGACACGGCCCAAACUCCUACGGGAGGCAGCAGUGGGGAAUAUUGGACAAUGGGGGGAACCCUGAUCCAGCGACGCCGCGUGAGUGAAGAAGUAUUUCGGUAUGUAAAGCUCUAUCAGCAGGGAAGAAAAUGACGGUACCUGACUAAGAAGCCCCGGCUAACUACGUGCCAGCAGCCGCGGUAAUACGUAGGGGGCAAGCGUUAUCCGGAUUUACUGGGUGUAAAGGGAGCGCAGACGGCGAAGCAAGUCUGAAGUGAAAUGCAUGGGCUCAACCCAUGAAUUGCUUUGGAAACUGUUUGGCUUGAGUGUCGGAGGGGUAAGCGGAAUUCCUAGUGUAGCGGUGAAAUGCGUAGAUAUUAGGAGGAACACCGGAGGCGAAGGCGGCUUACUGGACGACAACUGACGUUGAGGCUCGAAGGCGUGGGGAGCAAACAGG